RNAcentral lists this unclassified non-coding RNA (455 nucleotides) under Hevea brasiliensis (rubber tree). Lineage: Eukaryota; Viridiplantae; Streptophyta; Magnoliopsida; Malpighiales; Euphorbiaceae. The record is from RNAcentral.
AAAUUUUUGUGCAAUCUUUUUGGUAAGGAGGUUUAACCAAUGCAUUUGAAUCAUUAGGAUUUGAAGUCACCUUCCUUCUCCAAAUAACUGUCAGCCACUACAUCAGCAUUGGAAAGUAUCUGAUUAGUGGAAGAAAAAUAAUGUAGGGAUGAGUUGUUCAUCUUGGAGAUAGGGCUUCUUCCAUAGACUAUGAAUUGCACUCUGUGUUGCACUUGAAAGUUUCAAAUGCCAAGCAACAAAUCAAGUAAUCAACCAUUCACAUUUGUUAGUAGAGAAGAAUUGUGUUGGAUAGUCAGACUAGCCAGUGAAAAGCCAUUUCUUAAACCUUCAUCAACAUGAACACCUUAACUCCACAAUCUAACACGACAACUUUUUGUAAAGGCCCUAAAUAGAGUUAUAUGGCAACCAAGAUUAAUAUGUUCUAAUCUGAGAUUAGGAUGUGAGCUAUAUUUGGG